This 432-nucleotide ribosomal RNA is filed under the name uncultured archaeon. Its description in RNAcentral is "bacterial SSU rRNA". It matches the Rfam family "Archaeal small subunit ribosomal RNA", at positions 474 to 903 of the family's 1478-position model. The record is from RNAcentral.
UACCAGCUCUCCGAGUGGUGUGGAUGUAUAUUUGGCCUAAAGCAUCCGUAGCUGGCUGGGCAAGUCCCCUGUUAAAUCCACCGAUUUAAUCGUUGGAAUGCGGGGGAUACUGUUCGGCUAGGGGACGGGAGAGGCAGACGGUAUUUUCGGGGUAGGGGUGAAAUCCUAUAAUCCCGGGAAGACCACCAGUGGCGAAGGCUGUCUGCUAGAGCGCGCCCGACGGUGAGGGAUGAAAGCUGGGGGAGCGAACCGGAUUAGAUACCCGGGUAGUCCCAGCUGUAAACGAUGCAGGCUAGGUGUUUGGGCGACUACGUGCCGCUCUAGUGCCGCAGGGAAGCCGUUAAGCCUGCCGCCUGGGGAGUACGGCCGCAGGGCUGAAACUUAAAGGGAAUUGGGCGGGGGAGCACCGACAAGGGGUGAAGCUUGCGGUUU